RNAcentral lists this unclassified non-coding RNA (315 nucleotides) under Hevea brasiliensis (rubber tree). The record is from RNAcentral. Lineage: Eukaryota; Viridiplantae; Streptophyta; Magnoliopsida; Malpighiales; Euphorbiaceae.
UUCUGCCACCUCUUCCUUGACAUCAUGGGAAGUUUCAUCCGUCAUGGUAGUAACUCAAUUACUCGGCGAACAGAGCAAACAGUCGGGGAAACACGACGGCUGCCGGAAGCUGGAGGCGAAGCCUAAAGGACUGUCGGGGAUAAGAAAGCAGGAGUCAAGGAGGGUUUUCUGGUUUAGGACUUGAGGCGGCGUGUAAUAGCGUAUGAGACGAAAGGAAAUGAUCCCAAGGAAGAGGCAGCAAAGUGGGAAUCAAAGGCUCAGUUCGGACCGGUGAAGGAAGGGUAAUCAAUAGAAGGUUAAUAAAGGAUAAAAAGG